GAUGAACGCUGGCGGCGUGCCUAAUACAUGCAAGUCGAGCGAACAGAUGAGGAGCUUGCUCCUCUGACGUUAGCGGCGGACGGGUGAGUAACACGUGGAUAACCUACCUAUAAGACUUGGAUAACUUCGGGAAACCGGAGCUAAUACCGGAUAAUAUAUUGAACCGCAUGGUUCAAUAGUGAAAGACGGUUUUGCUGUCACUUAUAGAUGGAUCCGCGCCGCAUUAGCUAGUUGGUAAGGUAACGGCUUACCAAGGCAACGAUGCGUAGCCGACCUGAGAGGGGGAUCGGCCACACUGGAACUGAGACAAGGUCCAGACUCCUACGGGAGGCAGCAGUAGGGAAUAUUACGCAAUGGGCGAAAGACUGACGGAGCAACGCCGCGUGAGUGAUGAAGGUCUUCGGAUCGUAAAACUCUGUUAUUAGGGAAGAACAAAUGUGUAAGUAACUAUGCACGUCUUGACGGUACCUAAUCAGAAAGCCACGGCUAACUACGUG
Molecule: ribosomal RNA, 497 nt
Filed under: uncultured bacterium
Lineage: Bacteria
Description: partial 16S ribosomal RNA
Rfam family: Bacterial small subunit ribosomal RNA
Source: RNAcentral